CAAAUAUUUUUUUCAAGUUCCCACUGUCUGUACUCCUACGUACUCUUAUUAUUUAUUAAAUUAGUUUAUACUCAAAAAUUUGGAAUCACAUGACUAUUUUAGUCAUUUUAUAUAAUAUUUUAGUCCUGUCCAUGUGUAUCCAAACAUAAUACUAGACAUUACAUUAGUGUCCUAUCCAUCGUAUCCAAACACGAUACACAAAACAUAAUUUUUAAUGUCUCUGUCCUAUUGUCUUUGUCUCAGUGUUCUGUUCUGUCGUGUCUCUACAAACAAACGCUACCUUAAAAAACCAUCAAGUUGUUGGAUAAUCAUGGUGCAGUAACCCAAUAAUGCAUGAUUCAGCCCAAGAAAAAAACUGUGUGUAAAGUUAAGAGAGAACUGAAACCAUCCAACAACCCACCAAAAACACCAAGCAAAAACUUUGUCAAGGCUUGUUUUUCUUUUUGGUGAACAUUAUCACUUUUAUUUUUUGUUCUCCUAUUUUUAAUGAAGACAAAGAAGCCCAACAAGACCUGAAGAUGAAAUUUUAUUUGACAAAAGAUUGUAUUAUCAGCGUUUAGACCCAACAAAACAAAGGAUUACAGGGUUGCAUUGUAUUAGUACUUACGUAGUUACGUAGAUAAUUUCCCUUCAUCUUUCGUUAAAGUUAAAAAAAUCAGGGCCUCUUGUUUUUUCUUUUUUUCUCCUUCCGGGAAGCACGUGAAUUAGAAAUUGGAGCCGUGUUUAACGAGGACUCUAGAUAGUAACCCAUAUGCCAUCGUGUAAAUGACGCAAUUCAACUUUCUAGUUCUAGGCGUAAAGAUCACGCAGCUUUGAAUUGUUCUUUUGGCCAGCUUAUCUUUGCCGUCUAUCGGUCUAUGUAUGUUGGGGUAAACACUAGAACGAUAAACAUAGACACCGCCAUUGUCCCCACUAUUUCCCAAAAAUACCCCUCAUUAUUAUUAUUAUUAUUUUCAAAAGCGACACGUCACUGACAGCGCUACCCCACCCGAUAAAUAAAUGAACCGCACCUAACUUUCCACGCCUCACAAUCUCCUACCGUCAAUACAAUCAAAUCUCAACCGUCAGAUCUACACAGCCCUAUUAUAUAAGAUAGGUUUGGGUUUCCUCCUUUAUGUCAUUCAUCUCCGGCUUCCCCUGAUCCUUAUCCUUGUCUUUUAGAUUAGGUCAGAUCUUGUUCACGCGUUUUCUCUGAUACACCUAUUCUCCAUAGAUCUGUAUGGAUCCGAUCCAGAGCUACACGCCGAUGGUGCUUUUGUUCGGGUUCUACAAGGAUCUGACGCUCGUUGCCUCAGAUCUAACGUUCAGAGGUGCGCGCUUCACGUUCGUCUUGCUUUUGGAAUCUGUUUCGUAGCAAGUCCUUUGUUCAUGGGUUUAUCGAGGCUCUUGAGGUGUUGUAUUUUGCAGGUACGGCAGAGAAUCGGUUAUCGGAUGGACACAGCGUAGAUCCAUAGAGAAACCAAUCUGUUGCCGCUUUUCCCUAGUUGAUAUCUCCGUCUCCAGAUCUACCAUGAUCGAUUGCAGCGAAGCUCGUUCUGGCGAAGAACUCCGUAACCUAUGUUGCAGAUCUCAGAAAUUGUAAAAGAAAAUUAGUGUAUGCUUUGAAGUUAAAGAGGAGGACGAGUGUGUGUGGAUGUAGAUUACGGGAUGAAGAACCUCAAUAACGCUGAGCGGGUUUGAGGUUUGGAAUCCUGAGUGAUCUUGUCAUCCGACCUUUGCCAUGACAGGUGCGCUUGCAUGGCAGGUCAAACAAAGUUAAUAAAAAAAGAAUUUAUUUGGUUUUGGGGGGUGAAUCGCACGGGAGUUGCCCGGGGUCACCCCCUUGUGUGUGGUGUGUGCUUCCUUUUCGUUCUGCUCCCUUUUUAUUACCUAUCUGUUGCUCUUUCAACACCGGACGGGAUGGAAACACCAGCGGAUACGCAUGCUCGUACGCUCCAAUAAUUGAGGUAUCAUCUUAACAGUUAUUCGCAUUAGAUCAUUAUAUACUUACGUAUGCACCGUUAAAAUUCGAUGGAAAACUAAUUUCUAAUAACAUCCCCACCCUAAAAGGAGCUGGUAAAUUAAAUAAGAAGUAUCAAGUAGUUUUUAUCGGUAGUUUUUUGGUAUAUGGGAUAUAUAUGCUUUUUAUAAUUUACCUAAUAUACAUGGAAGCAACAUCAUUAUGCAAAUUCUAACACCUUGAUCUUUUAUUAAUAUUUUGAAUGAAAACAGCUCGUUAGUUAUCGCUUGUUCCUCAGUUAGUUUAUAGUACAAUCUUUUUUUUUCAGAGUUUAUAGCUCAUAGUACAAUCUUCGUUUUUUUAUAGCUCAUAGUACAAUCUUCGUUUUUUUAAUUUUAUAUUAACAACGGAAAUGUGCACCAACAGUUUUGUAAUUUGGUAUUAAUUUCAUUCAUACUCAUCGAGCUAUUAAUAUAGGGGUAGUUAUGCAUUUUAUAGCUCUACUACGGGUUUAUGUAACUAUGAUGUACUUCAAUGGAAAGGAAGAAAACACUGGCUGUAAAAAGUUUGUAGUUUAGAAACAUGUUCUCUUUGAAGCCGAUGUUGUCAGGAAUAUUGCUCGAGGAAAUCUGGUGUUGAGGAGGGAUGUAGCAUUAACAUUUUCGAGUUGUUGCAACCCGGCUGCUUGACGAUUUUGAAGUCUUAAAGAAACUAGUCAACAUUGGCAGUGGACCGAAGCUUCCACAUGAUGAUUUUAGUAUGGUUUUCUAGUCUUUCAUCAAUAUAUUAAGGUGAAGAUUCUUUCAAUUUCAGUACGUUUCAUGUUCUAUGUUUAUAAUAUUUUACUCGUCUAACGAAUUACAUAUUUAGUUUAGCUGGAAAACUGUAAUGUUUACCGAAGCACGCCUUAAACCCCCACCCUCCCCUAUUCUUUUUUCCUUUGUUUCUUUACACAGUAAAUCCUUUGGUAGUUGAUGCCGUUUUGUUGCAUUUUCAUAUUCAGUAGAUCCUUUUUUAAAUGAAGCAAUGCUAGUUCUUGUUGGUGAAUUGUGGUGAUUCUCUCAUUUCGAGGGUUAACCAGUUCUCAUUCAAAUGAUAGUUUUUGUUAGCUAUGCAUUGUGCUAGGAUAGAAAUGUGUUGUUUGGGAUAAGUGAAUUUUGAACCGAUGAAUUAGAUUCUCUCUUUUCAUGCCUUUGCUAUGUAUUUGUAUGUUUGGGACUACCAGUUAAAUACUCAUAAUUACGCGGGUAAUUUGAAGUGUACAACUUAUCUGACGUUACAUGCAAAACAUAUAUUGGAUCUAGCCUUUUUCGAAUGCUGGAUAUUAGUUUUGGAUACGGCUGGUGCCACUUACGCAACAUCUAGUGAUGUUCGUGGAAUGUGGUGAUAAUUUCCGUGAGAUGUUUCUUCUGGAGGAUGGCUUUUUGUGAUUCUGAAAUUCAGCUUUUCUGCUAAGGGUCUUGGAUAUUUUUAAGUAUAUUACGAUGGCUUCUUGAUUUUUCAAAUGCAGACAAGAAUGUCACUAAUUUUUGGUGCGACAUGUAUAUAGUUUUUUAGAAAUUGGAUAUUAAUCUGGUUUGUUU
Arachis ipaensis is the source of this 3522-nucleotide non-coding RNA. The record is from RefSeq and is a predicted model, not a curated record. Lineage: Eukaryota; Viridiplantae; Streptophyta; Magnoliopsida; Fabales; Fabaceae.